This 598-nucleotide ribosomal RNA is filed under the name uncultured Pasteuria sp. Its description in RNAcentral is "bacterial SSU rRNA". It matches the Rfam family "Bacterial small subunit ribosomal RNA", at positions 39 to 653 of the family's 1533-position model. The record is from RNAcentral. Lineage: Bacteria; Bacillati; Bacillota; Bacilli; Caryophanales; Pasteuriaceae.
GCGGCGUGCCUAAUACAUGCAAGUCGAGCGCGCUCCCCUUGGGGAGCGAGCGGCGGACGGGUGAGUAACACGUGGAUAACCUGUCCAGAAGUCGGGGAUUACCCCUGGAAACGGGGGUCAAUACCGGAUACGCUCUCUGGAUCGCAUGGUUCGGAGGGGAAAGGUACCUUCGGGUGUCGCUUUUGGGUGGAUCCGCGGCGCAUUAGCUAGUUGGUGAGGUAAGGGCUCACCAAGGCGACGAUGCGUAGCCGGCUUGGGAGAGCGGACGGCCACACUGGGACUGAGACACGGCCCAGACUCCUACGGGAGGCAGCAGUAGGGAAUUCUCCGCAAUGGGCGAAAGCCUGACGGAGCGACGCCGCGUGGGUGAAGACGGCCUUCGGGUUGUAAAGCCCUGUUCAUCGGGAAGAAGAAAUGACGGUACCGGUGAAGAAAGCCCCGGCUAACUACGUGCCAGCAGCCGCGGUAAUACGUAGGGGGCGAGCGUUGUCCGGGAUGAUUGGGCGUAAAGGGCGUGUAGGCGGAUGUAUAGGUCGGGCGUGAAAGGCACGGGCUCAACCCGUGUAAGCGUUCGAAACGGUGCAUCUUGAGUGCGGUA